UACAGAGGGUGCAAGCGUUAAUCGGAUUUACUGGGCGUAAAGCGUGCGUAGGUGGUCUUUUAAGUCGGAUGUGAAAUCCCUGAGCUUAACUUAGGAAUUGCAUUCGAUACUGGGAGACUAGAGUUUGGGAGAGGAUGGUAGAAUUCCAGGUGUAGCGGUGAAAUGCGUAGAGAUCUGGAGGAAUACCGAUGGCGAAGGCAGCCAUCUGGCCUAAUACUGACACUGAGGUACGAAAGCAUGGGGAGCAAACAGG
Molecule: ribosomal RNA, 253 nt
Filed under: uncultured bacterium
Lineage: Bacteria
Description: partial 16S ribosomal RNA
Rfam family: Bacterial small subunit ribosomal RNA
Source: RNAcentral